UUCUAUAAAUUAUGUUUAUAUUAACCUAAGUUUUCUUCGCGUUAUAGUAAAUUUGGAUUUUAUUAUCUUGUAGAUACCCCGAGAACUGAAAAGAGAAGAAAUGUUUUAAUGACUGGUCACAUAUCUAAUGAGGACUCUAAAAAUAUAAUCUGAGAAGAUCCUUCAAUGCGAAGACCUAGGGGGAGUAGAACUGGCAAUCAGAUUGCAAAAGCCAAACCACCAACUCAGGUGAAGUUCAAAAUAAAAUUUCAAAGCAUAAUGCAGUUGAAAUUUAACUUGUUAAGCCUUAAUAUACGUUGUCUUUUGAAGUUGAGUGACAACUUACUGGUUCUUUGCCAUGAUAGUGGCAUGAAAGGUUGUUGGUUCAAGUGUAUGUUUAUACAAGUAUCACCAAAAUAUUUGAAAGUUCAAUAUGAUAACAUCUAGAAUUGUGGUGGUUCAUAAAAGCUCGAGGUACCUUAACAAUUGUGGCUAUAACUUAAGUUUGUAAACCAUACAUAUGCUACUUGCAAAUAUUAACUUGCUCAUUCUACCUUAAGCAUGUUUCUUCAUCGCCUUUGUUUGUUCUAUAGGAAUGGACUCCUUACUUCUGAGUGGAGGCUCUGAUAAAUUGGGCAUCAGAUGCACAUGACACAUCAUAGUUCGCUCCCAUCUUUUGGAGGAUUAUUCUGACAAUUAUUUAGAAUAGGAGUAGUAAUUGAUGCUUGGUGAUCUAACGGAUGAUGGAAAGGUGGCGUUGUUGGAUUCGUUGUUUGUGGAAGUGCUCAUCUUCAGGUUUACUUCUCUAGUAAGAAACAAUAAUCCCAAAAAACUAAAAUAUAAUAGAAAAUAAGAAAUAAAAAGGGAAUUCCUACUUAUCAAUCAAUGCAUUGCAACUUAAGGAUAACUCAACUGCCAAUGGAUGUAAAAGUAUUCACUAUUCUUUCCCAUUUCUACAUGAAAUAAUAUGUCUAAGCUCAUUUUCAUAUAUUUUCUUUCCAAAUCAGCAAUGGGAAAUUUUUUAAACAGUAUGAAUAGCUUCUGACUAGUUUGUUGUCCAGAAUUUUUAGUGUUCGAUGUUUUUUAUGGCAUAAUGCCUCAACGUACUUUUUUCUCAAUAAUAAGGGAGAACAUAUUAUUGGAGAUUUAAUGGAAGAAUGUGAGGGCAUUAAGAUAUUGGUGUAGAUGAAAAAAAGGUUGAAGUUUAGGGAAAGAAAGACAUAAAGUCAUUCAUCAGCUCGAGUUUAACUUAGGUGUAAGUGCAGUAUCAAAGAAUUGGGGAACUACAAAAAUCAAGUGAUUCCCAAUGAUGUGGCAUUAAUGGAACUAGGUCCCUUUAUAGUUGUCUAUUUGAACUUGCUUAAGAUCUGAAGACCUAGUAACAUUAAUGUUACAAGAUUGUGAGAUAUGUGAUUUUCCCAGUUCUCUCCUUCUUUGAUAUUGCACUUGGAUUCAUGAGUUAAACUGGAGUUUAUGAAGGACUUAUAUUGCACUUGGAUUCAUGAGUUAAACUGGAGUUUAUGAAGGACUUAUAUUGCACUUGGAUUCAUGAGUUAAACUGGAGUUUAUGAAGGACUUUAGGUCUUUCUUUCCCUUAACUCCAACCCAUUUUUCAUCUAUACCGAUAUCUUGAAAUCUUCCGGUUUUUCCUUUGUAAAUCCAAUAAUAUCUACUAACCUACUAUUGAAAGAGAAAAAUACCUUGGGGCAUCAGGGUCAUGACCAACAUCGAAUAUUCAAAAAAUUGGACAAUAAAUUAGGCAGAAGCUAGGACUACAAUUUAAAACUCUUUCCAUUGUUGAGUUAGAAAGGCCAUUUAUGCCAAUGUUGAGAUUAGAUAUAUAAUUCAUGUAAGAAUUAAAAAUAAUUAAGUACACCUAUUUUACAUACAUUAAUUGUUGAGCUACUCUUACGCAAAGUUUCUAUGCAUCAAUUGAUACGCAACAAUUCUCCUUUUAUCCCCUAUUUUCUAUUACUAUUUUACAUUUUAGUUUUCUUAGGACUGUUAUUUCAUACCAAGGUAGUAAACCUGAAGUUGACCGCUCCCAUAGAUAUCAAAUUCAGCAAAAAUACAUUCCCACCACCCAUCAGACCGCCAAGCAUCAACUGCAGCUCAUACUUCAAAAGAAUAAUCAAAAUAAUCCUCCAGAAUUUAGGGCCGAACUAUGAGGUGUCAAUGCAUCUCAUGGCCAACCUAUCAAAGCCUACAACUCUAUAGAAAGGAACCCAUUCCUAUUAACCAAGCAAAGGUAAUGAGGAAACAGGCUGAAGGGAGAGUGGUCAAGUCAAUAUAUAUAAGUAGAUCGUAAGUUAUAGCAUAUGAACUUAAGUUAUAGUUGCAGUGGUUAAGGUACCUCGAUCUUUCCAUGACCAUCACAAUCCAUUAUGUCAUAAUAUUGAACUUUCAGACAUUAAUUUUGUGAGACUAGUAAGACCUUACACCUGAACCAACAACCUUUCAUGCCACUAUCAUGGAAAAAAUAAGCUCUAAGUUGUGCCAAGUUCAAAAUACAACUUAUAUUAAGUCUCAACAAGAUGAAUUCCAACCAGUCGUAUGCUUGGAAAAAUUAUUUUUAACUCCAGGUAAGUUUGUGGUUUGGCUUUGCUAUUUGCUUACUAGGAAUUGAUUCUCCAAUACCAUAGUGUCCACACUCACCAACACUUCUUACAAUUAUAGACUAACAUAUCACCCCUCGUCCAAAAUUCCAUGGAAAACAACUCUGACCAAUCAGUGGGUAAGUUUGUUGGGUAUCCAACAGAGCAACUCCUUGAGCAGGUUGAAUUGCAGUUGGAGAUAUUUGGGACCUACCAGCGGAAGGAAAUGGAGCAAGUUAAUUAUUUCAAUAACCAACUACUUCCUUUUUUCCGCAUCAAGAAGAUCAAGAAAGUAGACAAGGAUGCCCGUGUAAUCUAUCUGGAAAAAAAUAUUGAGCUUGUAGUUGGGGAAUAAAGCUGAUAAAAAUCGAGGUGAGAAACUGUCACCCAACACCAUCGACCUCAAGCAUCAUAUUGAUUCUCCAUCAGUUAAUGCUUCUUUAUCUCGAAAGUAGCAUCUCUAUUUCGGAGAAGUAGUAGUAAGGUAUGUUUACAUUGUACCUUUUUUAGACUCCACUUUGUGAGAUUUCACUAAGUAUGUUGUUGUUAGUCAGUUCAUCACUUUUCUGUAAUACUUCCGGUUUUUUUUAUGUAUCUGCAUAUGGGAUGCAUCAUUUUACACUCUCCAUUUGAUGUAGUUCAUUUCCUUUGCUACCACAACACCAUACUCUUCUGCCAAGGAAAUAAGGUAGUAAAUUACAUAGGACAACAUCUGAAUGUCUCUGAAUUAAGUAGUAUAUGAAGAUAGCAACCGAUGGAACGACGCAACCUAAUAACAAACACGGUUGGUCAACAAUAAAGUUUCAGGUUAGGUAGUAUACACGGAAAAUCUUACUUUAUUAUUUUCCCAUCCCGUUAAAUUGUAAUCUUUAUCCAUUGUCCCUCAACUUUUUGAUUAAUUAGA
Long non-coding RNA from Solanum pennellii, 3477 nucleotides. RefSeq lists it as uncharacterized. The record is from RefSeq and is a predicted model, not a curated record. Lineage: Eukaryota; Viridiplantae; Streptophyta; Magnoliopsida; Solanales; Solanaceae. The transcript is spliced from 3 exons.